Molecule: long non-coding RNA, 498 nt
Organism: Felis catus (domestic cat)
Lineage: Eukaryota; Metazoa; Chordata; Mammalia; Carnivora; Felidae
Exons: 3
Source: RefSeq, a predicted model, not a curated record
GCUGCAGGGGUACAGAAAGAGAGAGAAAAGGAUCCGGGGUGAGGAGAGGCGACCCGGAGCGGAGCGCCGACCACGGCUCUCUCCCCACUCUCCGAGAGCGACCCGGCCGAGGCCACGGGCCGUGUCAGCCCCAGCCCGCCACCCGCGCGGGCCCCGGCGUCUCGCGUGCGCCUGGCUCCCCGGGCUACGCCUCCUGCGCCCAGCCGGCCGCGGCCCCCUCCCUCAGACAACCCGACGCCGCUCGCCAAAGUGUUUUGGUGCUGGUGGAGCGAACUCACGCCCCUAGCCAGCCUUCUCAGCGACUCGUGCCAAGAGUACUCGUUCACCAGCACCGCCCCUUUAAGAGAUUUCAACUGCAGACAUUUUUUAACUUUUUAAAGACAGGAUUCAGGAAUCUGAAAAGGGCUGGAAUAUAUGACCUUCAGCUGAGGUUCCCUGAGGAGAUUCUUUCAAACCAAGCAACAAAGAAAUACAGAGGUUAGGUUGGGUUAAACUGGG